Gossypium arboreum is the source of this 274-nucleotide non-coding RNA. The record is from Rfam. NCBI's taxonomy places the organism in Eukaryota, Viridiplantae, Streptophyta, Magnoliopsida, Malvales, Malvaceae.
AUGUAGUUUAAUUCGAUGCAAAGUAAAGAACCUUACCAGGGCUUGACAAGGCGCGAAUCCUCUUGAAAGGGAGGGGUGCCUUCGGAAACACGGACACAGGUGGUGCAUGGCUAUCGUCAGCUCAUGCCGUAAGGUGUUGGGUUAAGUCUCGCAACGAGCGCAAGCCUCGUGUUUAGUUGCCACCAUUGAGUUUGGAAUUACCCCAUAUUUCAAAAUAUGACAUUGUUGGGAAUGUGAGAUAACCAACUCAAGUUAAUGUUUGAAAUCCAAACAU